CAGUAGCCGCGGUAAUCCGAAGGGGGCUAGCGUUGUUCGGAUUUACUGGGCGUAAAGCGCACGUAGGCGGAUCGAUCAGUCAGGGGUGAAAUCCUGGAGCUCAACUCCAGAACUGCCCUUGAUACUGUCGAUCUCGAGUCCGGAAGAGGUGAGUGGAACUCCUAGUGUAGAGGUGGAAUCCGUAGAUAUUAGGAAGAACACCAGUGGCGAAGGUGGCUCACUGGUCCGGUACUGACGCUGAGGUGCGAAAGCGUGGGGAGCAAACAGGAUUAGAUACCCGCGUAGUCCCUGUCUCUUAUAA
This 301-nucleotide ribosomal RNA is filed under the name uncultured bacterium. Its description in RNAcentral is "partial 16S ribosomal RNA". It matches the Rfam family "Bacterial small subunit ribosomal RNA", at positions 509 to 809 of the family's 1533-position model. The record is from RNAcentral.